Molecule: ribosomal RNA, 454 nt
Filed under: uncultured bacterium
Lineage: Bacteria
Description: partial 16S ribosomal RNA
Rfam family: Bacterial small subunit ribosomal RNA
Source: RNAcentral
GAUGAACGCUGACAGAAUGCUUAACACAUGCAAGUCAACUUGAACUUCGGUUUGGGUGGCGGACGGGUGAGUAACGCGUAAAGAACUUGCCUCACAGAUAGGGACAACAUCUGGAAACGAAUGCUAAUACCUGAUAUUAUGAUUAUAUGGCAUCGUAUAAUUAUGAAAGCUAUAUGCGCUGUGAGAGAGCUUUGCGUCCCAUUAGCUAGUUGGAGAGGUAACGGCUCACCAAGGCGAUGAUGGGUAGCCGGCCUGAGAGGGUGAUCGGCCACAAGGGGACUGAGACACGGCCCUUACUCCUACGGGAGGCAGCAGUGGGGAAUAUUGGACAAUGGACCAAGAGUCUGAUCCAGCAAUUCUGUGUGCACGAUGAAGUUUUUCGGAAUGUAAAGUGCUUUCAGUUGGGAAGAAAAAAAUGACGGUACCAACAGAAGAAGUGACGGCUAAAUACGUG